RNAcentral lists this transfer RNA (78 nucleotides) under Lentzea flava. RNAcentral describes it as "tRNA-Phe". It matches the Rfam family "tRNA". Rfam says of the family: Transfer RNA (tRNA) molecules are approximately 80 nucleotides in length. The record is from RNAcentral. RNAcentral also lists the same sequence under 5 other names. Lineage: Bacteria; Bacillati; Actinomycetota; Actinomycetes; Pseudonocardiales; Pseudonocardiaceae.
UGGCCAGGUAGCUCAGUUGGUACGAGCGACCGCCUGAAAAGCGGUAGGUCGGCGGUUCGACCCCGCCCCUGGCCAUCC